Molecule: long non-coding RNA, 293 nt
Organism: Chiroxiphia lanceolata (lance-tailed manakin)
Lineage: Eukaryota; Metazoa; Chordata; Aves; Passeriformes; Pipridae
Exons: 3
Source: RefSeq, a predicted model, not a curated record
GACAACUGCUGUUUGACAACUGCUUUGACUCAGUGCAGCUGCUCAAAAUGCCAAGGCCUUCAAAUGACCUGGGCUGCUGAAGGUCUCCCAGACUAUGCUUCAUGAGAACCACAGCCAUGUGCACCAGUGAAUUCAGCUGGCAGGAAUGUCACCCUUGCAGGGUGGAUUACACUCCACAUCAUCUCUAGAGACUUGGAGUUACUGCGCAUGUCAGUGUCUGCAUCAGCUUCCCGGACUGUUUCAACAACACAGCUCAGAGCAAUCUCACCAAAGUUGUCACUGACCUCACCACC